GACGAACGCUGGCGGCGUGCUUAACACAUGCAAGUCGAACGGAAAGGCCCUGCUUUUGUGGGGUGCUCGAGUGGCGAACGGGUGAGUAACACGUGAGUAACCUGCCCUUGACUUUGGGAUAACUUCAGGAAACUGGGGCUAAUACCGGAUAGGAGCUCCUGCUGCAUGGUGGGGGUUGGAAAGUUUCGGCGGUUGGGGAUGGACUCGCGGCUUAUCAGCUUGUUGGUGGGGUAGUGGCUUACCAAGGCUUUGACGGGUAGCCGGCCUGAGAGGGUGACCGGCCAAAGGGGGCUUGGGGAGGGGCCAGGGUGCAACAGGGGAGAAGGGGGGGGAAAAUUGGCAAAAUGGGCGGAGGGCGGGAGGAAGAACGCCGGGGGGGGGAGGACGGCAUGUGGGUGGGAAACGCAUUUCGCUUGUAACGAGGGGUGGGGAAGGGAAAUGGAGAAAAAGCACCGGCUAACUUCGGG
This 467-nucleotide ribosomal RNA is filed under the name uncultured bacterium. Its description in RNAcentral is "partial 16S ribosomal RNA". It matches the Rfam family "Bacterial small subunit ribosomal RNA", at positions 28 to 507 of the family's 1533-position model. The record is from RNAcentral.